GGGCGUGUGGCUCAGUUGGUAGAGCGUUCGCUUAGCAUACUCACCCUUGCUUCAUCACGAUGCAAGGAUCCUUUGUAUGCGAAAGGUCCUGGGUUCGAUUCCCAGCUCGUCCA
Molecule: non-coding RNA, 113 nt
Organism: Cercophora samala
Lineage: Eukaryota; Fungi; Ascomycota; Sordariomycetes; Sordariales; Lasiosphaeriaceae
Source: the annotation of a GenBank genome assembly